Loxodonta africana (African savanna elephant) is the source of this 3396-nucleotide long non-coding RNA. RefSeq lists it as uncharacterized. The record is from RefSeq and is a predicted model, not a curated record. NCBI's taxonomy places the organism in Eukaryota, Metazoa, Chordata, Mammalia, Proboscidea, Elephantidae. The transcript has 2 exons.
AGUUCCUGAAGCAUGUGUAUCUAUCAUGAAAAUACCAGUUAGUUACAGUAGGAAGAACUAUAGUAGUAUACUUGGCUCAACCAUAGGACUUUAAUGCAGAAAAUUUUUAAGUAAUCAGCUUAUUUUUUUCUUUACUCGUACUGUGGCUCCCGAGUCUCUCCAGAUUUAAUCAGUCUUUCAAACUUUGCUCUCCUGUCAUGGUAGACCCAAGGAACAUUUGACCUGUGUCAGCGCUGUGCUUCUAAUAACCUUAUGUUUUAAGUAUUUGAAAAUAAAAGCAGACUGACAGUGUAAUUUCAUUAAGUAUAUCACUACUGGCUUUCAUACAAUUUUUUUAUUAGAAUUUUUGUCCUUUUGUUGGUUGUCUUGAUGACUUUUCGGUGGUAACUGUGAUUUGAAAAUGCAGAGAAGUUCAAACAAGAAAAACAACUAGUACUUUCAGUAUCUAUAAUUUGACUUUUUAAUGUGUCUAGAGAAUCAGCGUCUGUGGUUCUUUGGGUAAUUUAAGUUUCCAGUAGCUUCAUAGAAUCGCCACAGAAAGCAUCUUAAGAGUUUUAUGUGAAUUGGAUGAUCUUUUGGGACCAUUUAAAGAUAACUGAAAUUUUGCAUUUUAAAAUUUCACUUACCUUCUCAACAUAAUUAAGUUGAAAUGAGGGGUGCUGGCAGUUUUUUUUCCCUUACUGUUCCAGUAAAAUAAGUCUUUUAAAGUUUUUGUGUUUAUUUUUAAUACUGUUGUCUUAAAAAUGGAAGAGCUUUGAAAUCAGGUGUUCUCUUGCCAACUCUGGUUAGCUUCUAAAGAGAAUUUUGCUUUCUGAAUAAUUUCUUUUUUUGGAUAUUCAGUCUUUUAUUCUGGAAGCAAUCUUAGUAAUCUAGGUGCUAACAUCUUGUUAUGUUCACAUCCUAUUAGCAGUCCUUUGGGUGUGCGUAUUUUCUCCUUGGCAGCUUUUGACUGUACAUAUAUGAUGGUUUCAUUAUUGACAGUUGUAAUAAAUUUCAUUUUCAAUAGGAAAGAGGAGCUUCCCUUUGCUCAUCUUCUUGUCUCCUUCCUAAUAUAUGAAGAUGUUUACGGUUAAGAUUUUGAGGUUUUUAAGGUUUGCUAAAUAGCCAGUUUGUCUUAAGAUGAAGAAAAACUGAAAAUGGGUGUGGGGUGUCAGUGCGUGAGAUAUUUUAGAUGUGGGGCUUAUCAGCUUUUUCCCACUCUUUGAACUAUACUUUGGAGUUGUAGUAAGAGAUGUAGGCAAAAUGCCCAGAUUUUUUUGUUUUUUUCUUAUGGGAGAGGGGAGCGGUCAGGCUCUUCCACUGUUUUCCUGUAGAAGGUGGGGCUCAGAUCUCCUUUUUGAUGUCUGGAAUAGAACCUAGGGAAGAAAACAUAGGCCUUGGUUUUUCUUGGAAACCACCCUGUGAGUGUUUCAGAUAUUAAAAGGGUAAUGGUGAAAUGGUAUUUGGAAAAAAAUAAUCCUGAGGCUCUGAGGAAUCAGAGAAUAAGCAUCUGUUGGCCGACUUAAACGUGUGAACAAAUAGGGUAUGGAAGGGCAAGUAGGAUGUGAAGACUUCUUGGUACUUUUGCGACUGGUUGGCCCAGUUGUGGUAGGUCCUGGUGAGCACCAGGUGCGUUUACGCUCUUGCAUUUGUGCAGAUUCCCUAUUCUGACAAGUAGUGUUGCGUGUGCAUUCCUUUGCUCACAGAGGGGGCACUCUUUGGAAACACCACUUUUCAGAAAUAAUAAGAAGCGUUUGCCGUCUAGUAGAUCCCGACUCGUGUUAGCGUUUUUAAUGAGUGCUUUUAAGCCAUGUGCCGGCCACUAGAGUAGGGUCUUUACACAGGGCAUUUUAUGCACUCUGCACCUUAAACUGAAUUGCAGAUUGAAUUGUAUAAUUGAGGUUUUCCAAGAACAGCGAUGAACUUGUCUGAAUGUAUUUCCUUUCUACUCUGCCUAUGUAGAUAUUUUACAUUAACUUGAUUUAGGAUUGUAGUUCUUAACCUUUAGGAGCAUUUGAUGACCCCUAUGGACCUGCUCCCUGUGUGUGCAUACAGCAACAUUUUGCGUAAAGUUGCAGGUGGUUCACACCCCCGAGUCUGUACAUGAACCUCAAGUUAACAAUGCCUGGCUUAGAAAAUUGAAAACAGAAAAGAGAGUGUUCACUACCACCCUUUCAAAAUGUGGGAACCCGAGGAUGAUGGAACUUUAUUUAAAAUCUGGUAUCCUGAACUAAUUCGUUUUAAAACGUGGAGUUUGUUGUGGGCAUGUCUUUAUUUUGAUGACCUAGUCGGUCCUUUUCAUUUUUUAAUGCUUACUUUUCUGUUUCUCAUUAAGUUACUCUCCUGAAGUUAUGAAGUGUUUUCAUGAUUCUUAAAAACCACCCACUGCUGUCCAGUGGAUUCCGACUCAUAGCGACCCUGUAGGACAGAGUAGAACUGCCCCCUAGGGUUUCAGUGUGCCACCAGGGCUUCUCUUUAAACAAAGGCACGCUAAAUUCACGGAACAUUGGUAUUCAUAUUAAGAACAUCAGGUAAUCUCUGUAGUAACUUUACUACUUUAAAAUACAUGUAGAUGUUGUUAAUAUAAAUGCCUAGCCUGGUAUAAUAUAUUCUUAUUUAAGCAGAUUAGGUGGAACUUAUAAAAAGAGUUGAAUACAUUUAUAAAAAGGACAUUUGAAGCAACUUUAUGAAAUUUUUGAUGUGGAUAACCAUGUGGUUUUUUGAAGACUGGUGGCUGGCACCUGUCCUCUUGAAGAGCAGUUGAGUUUAUCACUUAUUAAAGCUAAUUAAGUCUGAACUUCGAAAUAGGUUGUUUUCAUGCUCUUUUGAGUUGAGCCAACUUAGUCUCUACUAAUGCAAGUGUUCUGAAUUAAUUUAAGCAGUGAAUCACACUUUUCUGUGUACUUACUCAGCUCCUAUGUGCUGGUUCGUAGAUGGUUUGAUUCAUUCUGAUAGGUUUUAUAUAUAGGACUUAAGGUAUUUACUAAUAUUAUCAUCUGGGGUAUAUAAAAUAUAUCAUUAAGGGAAUGUGGGGCCCUGGUGGCACAGUGGUUAAACGUUUGGCUGCUAACCAAAAGGUUGUUAGUUCAAAUCCACCAGCUGCUCCUUGGAAACCCUAAGGGACACUUCAGCUCUGUUCUGUAGGGUCACCGUGAGUUUUAGUUGACUCGAUGGCAACAGGUUUAAUUUUUUUUUUUUUUUGGUGUGAUGAGAAGAACAGCAUCUGGAGUUGGAAAACCUAGGUUCAAGUUCAGACUGCCAGUUACCUCCUAUAAGUCAUUUAUACCGUUUGUACCUGUUUCUUAAACUAUAAAAUGUGAUUAUGGUUGUUGUGUACUGUUGAGUUGAUAGUACCAGCUAAGUUCUGAGUCUCAAGGAUAAACUGUACCUGGCUGUGCAGAAGUUAUUUAGCAUGAA